GAAUAUUGGACAAUGGGAGAAAGCCUGAUCCAGCCAUGCCGCGUGUGUGAUGAAGGCCUUUUGGUUGUAAAGCACUUUAAGCGAGGAGGAGGCAACUUAGACUAAUACUCUACGAUAGUGGAGGUUACUCGAAAAUUAAGCACCGGCUAACUCUGUCCCAGCAGCGGCGGUAAUACAGAGGGUGCGAGCGUUAAUCGGAUUUACUGGGCGUAAAGCGUGCGUAGGCGGCUUUGUAAGUCGGAUGUGAAAUCCCUGAGCUUAACUUAGGAAUUGCAUUCGAUACUGGGAAGCUAGAGUAUGGGAGAGGAUGGUAGAAUUCCAGGUGUAGCGGUGAAAUGCGUAGAGAUCUGGAGGAAUACCGAUGGCGAAGGCAGCCAUCUGGCCUAAUACUGACGCUGAGGUACGAAAGCAUGGGGAGCAAAC
Molecule: ribosomal RNA, 423 nt
Filed under: uncultured bacterium
Lineage: Bacteria
Description: partial 16S ribosomal RNA
Rfam family: Bacterial small subunit ribosomal RNA
Source: RNAcentral